Molecule: long non-coding RNA, 1104 nt
Filed under: Anser cygnoides (Swan goose)
Lineage: Eukaryota; Metazoa; Chordata; Aves; Anseriformes; Anatidae
Description: lncRNA (ENSACDG00005019190.1)
Source: RNAcentral
AUGGCACCCACAGCCCCACGGGCACCCAUGCUCCGUGCCCUUCAGCAUCGCACAGCUGGGCAGGAUGAGGCCGCCGGGUGCUCCCGGGGUCACCAAGCGGCACCCGCCCCUACCUGGGUGUCCCCAUGGCCCCAUCCCCGGCCACCCAAACCCGGUGAGCUCGGUGGGGUGGGAGGUGGCAGGAGGGGACACGGAGGGCACCGGCAAUGCGCCCAGCUGUGCGCGUACUGGGCAGAGUGGGAGGCUACUGGUGGGGCUCGGGGGCCACCUGCUGGGCAGAAGGGACAGCGCCACCCCCAGCUGUCCCUAAAAGCCCCCUGCCGGGGGAGGGACACACAAAGGGGGGGCACAAAGGGCUGUGCCCCCUGCCCUGCUCCCUCCCCAGGGCAGGGCACGGAGCCCGCAGGGCUGGUGGUGGCCCCAGGAGGUGGCACUGGGACGGGGUGUCACACCCCCCUCCCCAGCACCCAGUGUCACCCGAGGGUGCCAGGCCGGGUGCUGGCAGCAGGUGGCACCCAGCCACCAGCCGGGAGGGUUUGGGGAGGUUUUGGGGGAACCGAGGGGAGGGUUCCCAGCCCCAAAAUUCGGGGCUGCGGCAAGGAGAGCAAGGAUGGGGGCGAGCCACUUGCAGGACCCUGGCGCAAAGGUGGGCUGUUGUCCCCGUCCCUGUCCCGCCCCCCCAAAAUGUCACCUCUGGGGACCCCAAAUCCCACGGGCGUUAAUUACCCCGCAGCCCAGCCCCCAGAAGUGGCGUGCGCUCAGCACCCAGUGCAGCACGGCCCCGUUUUUGGGUGUCCCCCCCCCAACAUCACACAGCACUUUCAAGGUGAUGGCACUCUUCCAGGGGCCGAAUCCAGCCCUGGCGCUGAACACGGUCACCGGGAUGCUCGGAAGCAGGCAGCCAAGGAGGAGGGGGCUCUCCCAGUAUCCCCAGUAAGGCACUGGGUGAGCCCUGAGCUCGGCUUCCACCUCCAGCCCGAAGCUGGCCGCGGGGGGCCACAUGCGCGCAGCCCCCCCCCCGGGACACAGCCCCAAGGGCCCGGGACCCUUCCUGCGAGAACCGAGCUGUCGGGGCUCAAGCACCAGGCGGGCUCCGAGGUAUAG